GAGAAAGAAAAAAAGGGAGGAAGAAAGGAAAUCGCAGCCAUACGGGCUACGCUCCCCCAGCUGAACUGUAUCUGCAUUUUAACGGUGAGAGAAAAGACGCUAUAUGGCGGUGUGCUCCUCCCUCUACACUGCCUCAUCUGUCAGCCAUUAGUUAAUCAGGGCUGGUAACAGAGCACAGAGAGCUGGCACAAUGCGUGGGACAAGGGGACAGCUUCACCUCUGAGAGAGGGCAAGGACUCAGGGACCUCUGCUUCACCGAUCUACAGCUGGGCUGCCCCACUCACCAGCACCCACUCAGGUUGGUGCCCUGGUGUUAUCCUAAUGUCUUUCUGAGGUGUAAGCAUGUUCUGAAUGUAAGUUAAAAUCCUCCGGAUCACUUUACCAUAAAGGAGAAAAAAAAAAACCUUGAGAAAAACAGCACAUAAAUCAGUGGGUCACAUGGUAAAUGAAACACUCUUGAGACAGAUUUGCCCUCCCACGUUGUCCCAGCAAUUAAUUUCACAUGAUUAGGUGGGUUAAAGCAAGUAUAAUCCGGUGAGGUUCAUUUAGGCAUAAUGGAUUACUAUAAAAUGGAAUGACUCUAUCGCUUUAAAUUUGGCACAAAGCUGAAAAGCAGCCAAGUAUAACAGCUUUUCUGUGAAAAAAAAAUAAAAAGUUUAUUCAAAGCAGAACAAAACCUCUGCAGAGAAAGACAUAAUUGAUAUUUCAAACAAUUUGAAAUGAACAAGCAGCUCUGAAUAUACUACUUAGUGACUACAAAGCGGCAUUCUUGAGUUUCACAGCUCUGGAACAAAUCACAUAAUUGAGUGCUAAACCAGAUACAAAUUUAUGCCUUUUUUGAGAACUACAAAACCAUAAAACAGCUUGGGGAGUUUUGAACAUAGACAUCUGACUUUUAAAUUUACAAAAAUAUGAUUUCUUACAGAUAUAUUUCUUACAGAUAACUUCAGGACAAUCAGACUGAUAUUAGAUACUCUUAGUGAGCACCUAUGUCUUUGUCUAGGAGUGGCAGACGGCAACCUCAAGAUGACCCCACCCACUGCUUUACUGUGAGCAGGUAAGCCAACAGGACACAUGGAAACUGUUAGGCAUCCAAGAGAAACUCGACUAGAGUUUAAAUAUCUGUCACUCAGCCAAUAUGGCAAUCAAAGCAGCUAAUACUGUAUAGUACCUCACAGAGAGAAGGUGAAUUCCACAAAACCAACUAAGCACUUUAGCUCAGAUCAAAACUUCUUCCUGUGUAAAUGUGUUCAGGGAUCAAAUACUCUGAUCACUAAGACCUCAAGCGACAUAUGAAAAUAUUUAUUGUUCUGAGGACUAUAAUUACACCAUAACAGUACUUCUGUUCAAAACAACUGUUUAUGUUUGGGCUAAAAAAAAUCAGAAAGUCCCUCUUAAACAUCUUAAUGUGAGUUUUGACAAGAUCUUGCAAGACCAGUGAUAUUUAUAUUUUAUAUACUGGUUUCAGCUUGGUUUUUUUUUUAGCUACAAUGAUGAUGUACUACACUAUAAUGACAAUUCAUUUCAGACUAAUUUCUAUUCCUAGGACUACAGCCAAGUUCUGAAUAUAGCUUUAAAGUUUAAUAUGUCUUUUUCUUGAUUGUUUUAAAAGAAAUAAUGUCUUAUUAAGCAUGAAGAAAAUGACAUGUUUUUGUGUUAUAUGUUUCCUAUAUUUAGUGGUUCUAAACAAGACCAUAUCUCAAAAUGUGAGAGCCAAGGUCGAAUUCCAAUCACAUUGCAGCACGCUCGCAAUGCAAGAAGAUGGUAAUACCAAGCAUAUGGUAACUGUAGUUACAUAGACUCUUCAAAGGAGCUCAGUGCUGACCUGGAGCAAGAACUAACUUGCAAGUGUAGGCUGUGUGAAGGGAGUGUAGAAUUAUACCCUAGGCUACAUGUUGUCAAGGCUGUGAGAUCUCAUCUCUUCAAACAGCACGUUUGCUCUAUAUGGUCAAACAUGCCUAUGCAAAAUUAGAAUGCAAAAUAUCAUCUGUACAGCAAAUCAAGCAAAGAGGAAGUGGUAGCUGGGAACUGAAUGCACUCGAAGAUAACGUUAUGUUUUUUUGUCACAGCUUUAUCAGUAUCACAGUGUUCUCUGGUGCAUAGAUUAAACUGCAGAUCAGAGAAACAGGGAGACAAGAGGGAGGAAGAGAGAAAGUCAUGGAAUAUUCAGGCUGCUUUUCUGUCCAUGGGCUUGUUUUGCAGGGAGGUUUCAAAGACAGAAGUCAAAACAACACAUGUUGUCAACAUGGGAACAGCUGGUAUGAGCAGCGUCAUGGGGCAGAAGAAUGUCAAAAGUCAUAGAUCUUUUAUCCAUCAGGCCAAAAUAGCCACCCAGACUUGUUUGAAACCACGCACAGAUGCAGUGUGAAACCCCAGAGUUUAUGUAUGUGACUCAUAUCAUGCAAUUUUUGCCCACAACCAAUCCUACAAGAUAUUUUGAACAGCAGAAACUGUAAGAGGAAUUCAACAAAAACAAGGACAUGCAAAUAUAUUCAAAUGCAAAAUAUAAACAUAUUUUGUUUGAGAGUGAAGUUACAGCAUCUAGUGAUGAAUUUCAGAUGGGACAAGUUGAUUUUGCCACAUUAUUCAUCCCAAGAUACGGUUGAUUAUACGAUGUGGAAAUGAUUUCCUUCCUGUCUCUGUCAGUGCAGUUCCCGACAGACUGUCAGCUGCAGGAGCUGCAGUGUUCUUCUGAUUGGCUAAAACUAAACAGCAUAUUCUGCACUCCAUGCCAAAGUAUGACUUUGCCAUCUCCAAAGAGUUAAAUAAACACCCAGUUGAGUAGGCAUAUACAGUCUCUUCAACACAGUUUCCUUUUUAAGUCAACACUACUCAGAAAAGAUACACCAAGCAACCAUAAGUCAAAACGAAAUGACAAAACAGGCAAGUUUUUUCCGUCUGUCUAAACAUUCCACUGAGAGCUUUUUCCAUUACCAUGUUACACUGAAACAUCCAGUAGAGCUCAGAUGAAUACUAUGCUGCAGACUGCUGCAGAAAAAAAAAUGAGGAAAGGCCAUAUAAAAGAAGAAGAAAAAAAAUCACAUUCAUGAUGACAUAACUUGAAAAAUACAAACAGCAGACCAGCCGUAAAGUUGGUGACCUUUGACACAGGACAUCCAAGUCUAAGUCCCUCUUCCUGCUAAAUGUUACCCAGCUGCUUUUCUAAUCUGUCAUAGCAACCAGUUUGCCACAGCUUGCAAACAGGGAAGUAUGGAAAAGCUCAGAAAAGUGGGAGAUUCUGACCGUGAAUUUAUGUUAAAAAAAAAAAAAAAAAAAAAGAAUUAAAAAUGCAAAGCAUGAUGCAAGAGAAGGAGAAUAAGAUAGCUCUACAUUGUUUUUGUAAUGGAAAAAUAUCCACACCGGCUGUGUGCAUGUCUUAUUAACACAAACAGAACACUACUUACAAUAUUCCUUUUAUGGCAGUAUUAUAGAGGUGAUAGAGCUCUUUUGGUAAGUAAGUGCAAAUCGCAGUGUUUACCAAAAUUGUAAUUACUUUUUAUACCAUAUCACCCCAAUCCCUUUUCCUACUGGGCCUCUUUUUGAAAUUCUGCUAACCCUGUGCCUGCUCUCAGCCAAGUCCAUGGGUGGUAGCAUGUCUUGGCAACAGGAAAUAUGCCUCCAUCAGAUGAAAAACACACCCAAAGAAAAAACACUGCAUCAACAAGAAAACAAAUAAAGAUGUGUUUACAACAUCAAAAACAAACAUCAGGUGUUGUUUUCAGACCCUCAGAUUUGAGGAGGGUCUUCUUGUAGAUUCACCAUUUUCUGAAAAUGGUAAACACAAAAGAGAAGCCACAGCAGAUAACCAGAGACAGAUAGAGGCAUUGGCAAUAUUCCCUGCUAGGAGUCUGCCUCAGUAGACCCUGUCAAUGGAUUGGUCAGUUAUGUGACGUACAGUGACUUUUUGUCAUUUUAAGAAAUAAAAGAAUAAAAAGUAGUUGCACACCCUAACGUCUCCAAAGUUAGGGUGCUGAAACACUGAUGCGAAGCUAUUGUGAGGAAUCCCAAAAUAUUGUUUUUUCUCAUGUUUCAGAUAAUUAAUUAAUUGAGAAAUAAGGCCAACUGCACAUUAGCUGAUAAUGGAAAGUAUUGUUAUUUGCACCUAAAAAUAAAAAGAGCACCACGACUCAAAGGUGGGUUUUCUUCUGCUUGAAUGUUGUUGUGUUUCAGUAGCGAGUGCAGAAAGGACUGAAGAAAUAAUUUUGAUUAACAGUGCAUCAGGCACUGACUUACACAGUGGAAUUUCAUCACAUCUGUGGACCAGCGGCCCUGUGAGCACAGAUGAUGAACAAGUAGAAACAGAGCUGACAGACAGCUAGCUCGUGUGAAAUGCACAGCACACACAGUCAAAUAGCACAAUGCAAGUACAGCUAAAUCUCUAACCCUCUGCAGUGUAGCUAAAACGUCACAGCCGUACUGAAGGACUGUUAUGUUCCUGUUACUCAAAGUGGGCCACAACACCCAAUCUAUCACUGUCUGACUGAGCGAAAUGUCGAGGCCACAAACUCCAUUUCAUUCCAUCCCAUCAACUUGACUGGCCAGAAUGGGACCAGGCCCCGUCAAGUCUGAGAUGGUAGCCUCGUGUGAGAAGAAUAUAUGUUUCAGUAGAGUCUAAGAAGUGUCUCCUAAAGGUUUAAAACUACUUCAUAAUGCUUGACCAACAAGUUGAGGAAAAGCAGACGCUCUCUACCUGUGUCAAAGUGAGGCCAUGUUCCCUAUCAUUCGAUUGGCUAGGGGUAGACCAAUCUAAAUGCUUCCAGACUUUCACGCCCUGUAUCCUCUCAUUUCAUCUCCCUGCAUCUCUCCCAGCUCAGAUCAACCACAAAAUAACAGCCACCCUUACUAGAUGGGCUGCUCUCUUAAUGUCUUCCAAUACCCUGAGCAAACUCAUUGUGGUUCAGAGUCAGCCCUUAUUUCUUCAGAAGGGGCUUUGCUCCUACAGAGACAGUAUUAAGAUCAUCAUUUGACUGCUCUCUAAGCGACAAUGAACUGUGGAGGAUAAGGAUGUUUAUGCAAGUGCUAGUAAAGAAAAUCUAUAUUGCAGCGUGCAAUAUGUCAAACGUUUCUUCAUGUCAUCAAACUGCUUCCAUCUGCUUCCAUCACAUCAGGGACGGAAGAGACUUCCAUCCCUGAUGUGAAAGCCCUGCUGGGAUCCAAAUAUUUAGAAUCUUCAGAUAACAUCUCACAGCAUCUGGUUUUCUGCCUCCAAAGUCUUAAUGGUUUGCCAAAAUCCGCAGGCCAUAGUGCUUGACUUUUAACCAUCAAAUCAUCAAUUGAACUAUUUUGCUUUCUCUCAAAGGCCAAAAUGAAACAUUAUCUCCCGACUCACAUUUAAAUUAAAGCCAUGACAAGAACCAUGCUAGCGAGGACCAAGGGGAAGGGGGAGGGUGGCCCUUCCAGCCACCGCUUCCAUUGCUCAGACUCGACUGGCAUAUGGGCAGGAUCAGGAAACACAAGCUCAAUGAUGUCAUGACCAACUGACCCUAGGGUGACAGGUUUGGAGAAUGUUCUUGCCCAGUGCCCUCAGGCCAAAGUCAAGUAUGUCAAUGUUGUGCAUGUGGAUUUCAUCUGAAGUAGCAUGAUUAGUUCACAGACAUUCAACUGCGGUCCCCCUCCAUGGGAAACCCACUCUCGACAGGAAACUGUAUGUUUUUGUUAGCAACAAACAGGCAUAAAUUACUAAAAUGGUGCGUUGGUGCCAAUUUAUCACACACAGCCUUAUUGUUGUUCCUUGCACACAUUUGACAUCAACAUUGCUUUUAAGGUAAUUACCAUUAGUUAAUGAUAUUUACAUUCUUGAUAGUUUAUGUUGAACUGUGUGUCUUCUAUUGUAAUUUUGUGCAUUAAAUGUGAUAAUUGUU
Molecule: long non-coding RNA, 5861 nt
Organism: Toxotes jaculatrix (banded archerfish)
Lineage: Eukaryota; Metazoa; Chordata; Actinopteri; Toxotidae
Exons: 2
Source: RefSeq, a predicted model, not a curated record